UAUGGAGGUGGCACACAGGCUCAUAACCUGAAGGCCGCAGGUUCAAAUCCUGCCCCCGCAACCA
This 64-nucleotide transfer RNA is filed under the name Cereibacter sphaeroides ATCC 17029. Its description in RNAcentral is "tRNA-Und (NNN) (tRNA-Und-NNN-1-1)". Lineage: Bacteria; Pseudomonadati; Pseudomonadota; Alphaproteobacteria; Rhodobacterales; Paracoccaceae. The record is from RNAcentral.